UCAAUUUAUAUUUUAUUUGGCUUGUAAAAUGUGAAUUAUAAUUUCAAAUUUGUAUGAUCCAUACUCCAUAGCCUUAUUGAUAACUAAGUGCCCACUAGUCAAAAACAAUUAACAAGUUUGUUACUUUAUAACUUUGACGAAUUAAUAUUAAGAUGAAUCCACCAAAAAGAAAAAAUACUUUUAUGGAUAAGUUUGUUGGUAAAAUAUCUAAAAAUGAUGACGACAGAAGUACAACUGAUGAUCAAAUAUCUACUCCAACACAAGUAGCACCUUCUAAACUACAGGAUAUUAUUCAAAUGCAAGCAAAUAAUAAACAUGAUAUUGGUCUUUUUCUUGUGCUCUUGAUGUCUCAUAUAAUAUUUUGAUGAUACCUACGUCCUACAGUUAAUCAUAUUAUGGUGUCAUCUGCAGUUUGUAAUGAAUCUAUAAAAUACUAUACCUAAUAAUAUGUUAUGGCUAUGUAUAAUAUAAACUUUGCCCCCCCCCCCCCCCGGUGAAAAUUUCUGCGGGCG
Long non-coding RNA from Metopolophium dirhodum (rose-grain aphid), 512 nucleotides. RefSeq lists it as uncharacterized. Lineage: Eukaryota; Metazoa; Arthropoda; Insecta; Hemiptera; Aphididae. The record is from RefSeq and is a predicted model, not a curated record. The transcript has 3 exons.